Patella vulgata (common limpet) is the source of this 160-nucleotide long non-coding RNA. RefSeq lists it as uncharacterized. The transcript has 3 exons. NCBI's taxonomy places the organism in Eukaryota, Metazoa, Mollusca, Gastropoda, Patellidae. The record is from RefSeq and is a predicted model, not a curated record.
UGAGAUACAUAGAGUAGCAUGUAGAAGAAUUGGCAUUAGUUAGCAUGCUACGAAGGGAAGCAGAAGAAAAAGAAAGUGAAGGAUCAAGUGAAAAUGAAACUCAGCAAGUUGAGGUAGUAAAGAAUGAAAAAGAGGACCUUGAUUUAGCUGUACAGGAUCC